RNAcentral lists this transfer RNA (73 nucleotides) under Ovis aries (sheep). It matches the Rfam family "tRNA". Rfam says of the family: Transfer RNA (tRNA) molecules are approximately 80 nucleotides in length. Their secondary structure includes four short double-helical elements and three loops (D, anti-codon, and T loops). Lineage: Eukaryota; Metazoa; Chordata; Mammalia; Artiodactyla; Bovidae. The record is from Rfam by way of RNAcentral.
UCCCUGGUGGCUCAGAUGGUAAAAGCAUCUGCCUGCAAUGCGGGAGACCCAGGUUCAAUUCCUGGGUUGGGAA